This 437-nucleotide ribosomal RNA is filed under the name uncultured bacterium. Its description in RNAcentral is "partial 16S ribosomal RNA". It matches the Rfam family "Bacterial small subunit ribosomal RNA", at positions 401 to 842 of the family's 1533-position model. The record is from RNAcentral.
GUGAGGGAUGAAGCCUUCGGGUUGUAAACCUCUUUCGUCAGGGAAGNNAACAAUGACGGUACCUCCNGAAUAAGCAUCGGCUAAUUACUUGCCACCAGCCGCGGUAAUACUAAGGGGGCAAGCGUUGUUCGGAAUUAUUUNGGGCNUAAAGGGCGCGUUGGCGGUGGAUUCAAGUCGGCUGUGAAAANACCGGGUGUUAACCCCGGAAGGNCGGUGGAUACUGNNCAUCUAGAGUGCCGUAGAGGNGAGNGGGAAUUCNCCNNUGUAUCGGUGAAAUGCGUAGAUAUCCGGGGGAGCACACACNUUGGNGAAAGCAGCUCUUCUGGGCCGCNUCUGACNCUCAGGGGGCGAAAGCUAGGGGAGCGCACGGGAUUAUAUACCCCCUUAUUCCNCCCCGUAAACGAUGGAUNCUAGCCGGUGUGGGGCNUAUCCACCCG